Molecule: ribosomal RNA, 471 nt
Filed under: uncultured bacterium
Lineage: Bacteria
Description: bacterial SSU rRNA
Rfam family: Bacterial small subunit ribosomal RNA
Source: RNAcentral
AUCAGCUAGUUGGUGAGGUAAUGGCUCACCAAGGCGAAGACGGGUAGCUGGUCUGAGAGGAUGAUCAGCCACACUGGAACUGAGACACGGUCCAGACUCCGUACGGGAGGCAGCAGGUGGGGAAUAUUGCGACAAGUGGGCGAAAGCCUGACGCAGCCACGCCGCGUGAGCGAUGAAGGUCUUCGGAUCGUAAAGCUCUGGUGGGGGGAGAAGAAGAAAGUCGGUGAAGAGCCGGCCCUGACGGUAUCCCCUUAGCAAGCACCGGCUAACUCCGUGCCAGCAGCCGCGGUAAUACGGAGGGUGCAAACGUUGCUCGGAAUCAUUGGGCGUAAAGCGCGCGUAGGCGGCUGAACAAGUUGGAUGUGAAAGCCCUGGGCUCAACCUAGGAUGUGCAUUCAAAACUGUUCGGCUUGAGUCUCGGAGGGGGUCAGAGAAUUCUCGGUGUAGAGGUGAAAUUCGUAGAUAUCGGGG